AAGGGUGGCUGUAAAUAUGCACGGUCAACCCCGGUUUGUUAAGUAGCAUAUUAACCAGGAGUUUUAUCAUGGCCCUGUCUGCUGAAAAGAAAGCUGAAAUCGUUAAGGAAUUCGGUCACGCUGAA
This is a non-coding RNA of Oceanospirillales bacterium, 125 nucleotides long. Lineage: Bacteria; Pseudomonadati; Pseudomonadota; Gammaproteobacteria; Oceanospirillales. The record is from Rfam.